UCAUCGGGAUGCGAAUGCAAAACCACCCCUCAGCUCUCCCGAGGUAUCACCGCAACUUUUCCUGUUGUCCCAGAGUCACUGGCAAGUAAAAUGCAGGAAAUGUUCUUUAUUUGGCAGAAGAGCGGCACCCUGUGGCUCGUGCUCGACUUUGCUUUGAAAUACUUAAAAAUCUCUCCGACUUCCUCUGGUGCAUGCUGGUUAUUAUUGUAGCACAAGCUUGAAGUUAUUUUAGUCCAUGAAAGGCAGCAGAUUUCUUUUUAGAGACCUGAUGAUACUCUGCAUAUGAGAUAAGAGUGCACUGGGGGCAAGAAUAUGAUUCUAUCUUCAAAAUGCUAUUAAAACAAAAUUUUGUGUGUAUUUAUUUUCAUUAUUCACCGAACAUCUCUGAGGUAUUUACAGGCAAUUUAUGUCCUACAGUAUGGAAUAAAAUUAGUCAGACUGGACCUGGACCUCAAGUAGUGCCUUGCGUAGGGCUUUGUGAACCUGAUCCCCUGAUAUUUAGAAACCUAACAUGUAUUAUUUCAAUUCAUUUCUCAAAUAAGAAGCCUGCUGGUAAUUUCUGCAGGCGCUGUGUUCUGCUGGUGCAAAGGACUCCCAAAAAUGAGGCAGCAAUCUGACCACCUUCCAGUAUCACACCUCCUGUGCCCCCUGUGACACCUUUGGGUACCAUGAUCACUCACAGCCUCUUCAAAAAAUCCUGCCACACCUGCCAAAAAAAACGUGAGGCAGUGACAGAAAAUAAGCCACAAAAUAAGUUUGCACUCUUAUUGCUCUGUGGUUUAAUUUAUUCUUUGUUAACAAACCCUAAUAUCACUACCAUUUGUUCCACAGCCCAUGUGCUGAUAUUUCUUUAAUAAUAAAUCUCUGCAGAGGUUAGUGCUCUACUUGGAAAGAAGUGAAAAUGUUGAUGUGUCUGUUUUUUGCUGGCCACAAAAUUUUCAGCACUCAGCAGGGCUCAGCAGAAGUCCCAGUCUCUAGAAGAAUAAAUUAUAACUAAAACAAACAGAGAAGUAUAAAGGAUUUCUACUGCACCGUGGGCAGAAUUCCAGUUGUGUAGGGCACAACAGGGCUUUACUAAGGUCAUGCUGCCCAGAACCAGACCAGCCUGUGAAUCUCCUCUAUCUGCACAUUGUUAUGUAACUUACACAUGAUUCUUUCAUAAUCUUUGGCACAAACUAUUUGUGCCCCAUCCUAAUUUUGCACCUGUAUUUUCAGGGGUUUAUCUCAGACACUGAAGCAGUGGAUGAACAGCUGCUGCUAGCUGACAGAUAUAUUGAAAUGAGAUAUUUAUCUCAGAUAUAUUGAAAUGAGAAUCACAGUUCCAGAACAGCAAUUGCCCCUCCACUUGGGGCUGGAGUGGAGGCAACACUACCAAGGCAAGAAAUCCCACAGCAAUCUGACAACAAAUGUAUCUAUUAGACUAUCCCCUCUGUGCAGAAAAAGGAGUGCAGAACAGUGAAGAUACCUGACUUACUUUAAAAUUACUGCACUGGAUCUGUAGCAGGUACCAACAUGAACAGCAGCAGAGGAGAAGUGUGCUGAGCACAGACACAUCUGGCAAUGCCUCAGAGCUCUGAGCAGCAUCCCCACAUUUUCUCUGCAAUCCAAUUUCCAUGAGCUCCGAAGCUCUGAGAUAAAACAAAGCUAUGACAGCCAACAACCAGUGGCAUCUAACUGAACUUCAGGCCACUGAAUUAUGGUGGAAGGAAUGUGGCAGUAUUUCCUACUUCUGCUUUUCCAGCCUGGCAGGCAUGUCUAGUCUUUCAGACUUCCAGCGCUUCCAGAAAAUGUAGCUGCUAAUACACACCAGUUGUGUUAAAUUGGAAGAACAUCCCCUUAAGUGUUUACACUGAUUUUGAAAUUCAAAAGAAGUAAUCCCAAACCCCAAUUAUCUUUUGAAAAAGUAAAGAAAGCACCAAAUCUUUGAGGAGGGUUGAUUAAAUUCUCCACCCUUUUAAAUGUUAAAGGAUGUUAUUUUUAAGCUGUGUGCUAAACACGAGGGAUCUCUGAUGAUUCCCAGUGCAGCCGGCAGGGCAGCAUUUGCUGCCAGAUAGGUGUAAUAGGGAACGGAGUGCUUUUUUUGUGGAGGGCUGGAACACCUUUUUAUUUCUUGUAACUUGUUACAACUUGUAAAUUGUGUAACUGUUCAUGCAUUUUGGCCACUAUAUGUUCGCCAUCUUCAUUAUUGAGGUCCUGUUCUGGAUUUUUAAGUCCAGCAGUUUAAUUUCUCCUUUGGCUCAUUUAUUUGCUAGAUGCCUGAAAUUGUGCAAUUAGGGCUGAGGAAGAACCAGAUAUGGUGUGACAGAUGCAAGCUGUCAUAGAGUCGUUAGGAAGUAGAGAUAGUUUCUGCCAGCACGCAGGAACACUGCCCAGGAGGUACAGGAGGGUUUUCCACAAUUAUUGAGGUGGUAGAGGUUGGCUGCAAGUCUUACCAUGACCCCUGUGUUUUAUAACUUGAGAAGACUUUGAUCUUUGGCACAAACUAUUUGUCUCUCUUUAGUCUGUGCAAAACUGCCAGUUACAUGGGAACAGCAAAGUUCCACACAUGCAGACUUUGGUCAGAAAAUCAGACUGCAGUCUGCUCCCUGAGCUGCAGAAGUUUAGCAAAAUUACCUACACUGCUGGGUAGUAAGUGAAAGAACAUUUCUCUCAAUUGCAAAAUUACUCUGCAUUUUCUGCCAGCUGUGAAAUUUAAGCUAGUGAAAAGCUGCUUUUCUGCAAUGGUCAAUGCCGACUGUAAUAUUACACACAGUCUUUUAGGUAAGAACUGACAGUACUUUUGUACUACUUUCACACAUUAGACCUAAGUUUAGAUUGGUUUAGAAAGAAUGUUUAAGAAUCAUGCUUUUAGCUGAUUGGAUGUUUUACAAAUAAAAACACCCUGUUUUGAGGUGUUUGUUAUGAAGGGAGGAAGAAGGAAAGAAGGAAAGAAGGAAAGAAGGAAAGAAGGAAAGAAGGAAAGAAAGAAAGAAGGAAGAAGGAAGAAGAAAGAAGAAAAGAUAGAAGAAAACAAAGAAAAGAAGAAGAAAGAAGAAAAGAAGAAAGAAGAAGAAAGAAGAAAAGAAAGAAGAAAGAAGCUGUGGUUCCUGCUGCUGCUGCUUGGGACAUUGGACUGUAUGCCUGGGAACACCUGUUGCUGCUGCUGCUUAGAACUCUUUGCCUUCGAGACUGAUGUAUUCAUGCAAUAAACAACUUUAUAGCAACCAA
This is a long non-coding RNA of Taeniopygia guttata (zebra finch), 3207 nucleotides long. RefSeq lists it as uncharacterized. The record is from RefSeq and is a predicted model, not a curated record. Lineage: Eukaryota; Metazoa; Chordata; Aves; Passeriformes; Estrildidae.